GCACCACAACGGGUGGAGCCUGCGGUUUAAUCGGACUCAACGCCGGGAAACUCACCGGACAAGACAGCUGAAUGAUAGUCGGGCUGAAGACUCUACUUGACUAGCUGAGAGGAGGUGCAUGGCCGUCGUCAGUUCGUACUGUGAAGCAUCCUGUUAAGUCAGGCAACGAGCGAGACCCACGCCAACAGUUGCUAGCUCGUCCUCCGGGAUGGAGAGGACACUGUUGGGACCGCCUCUGCUAAAGAGGAGGAAGGAGCGGGCGACGGUAGGUCAGUAUGCCCCGAAUUCUCCGGGCUACACGCGGGCUACAAUGGAUGGGACAAUGGGUUCCGACACCGAAAGGUGAAGGCAAUCUCUUAAACCCAUUCUUAGUUCGGAUUGAGGGCUGAAACUCGCCCUCAUGAAGCUGGAAUCCGUAGUAAUCGCGUUUCAACAUAGCGCGGUGAAUACGUUCCUGCUCCUUGCACACACCGCCCGUCAAACCACCCGAGUGGGGGUUAUGUGAAGGCGUGGUUUUUGCCACGUUCGAACAUAGGUUCCGCAAGGGGGGUU
RNAcentral lists this ribosomal RNA (552 nucleotides) under uncultured archaeon AM-1. RNAcentral's name for it is "bacterial SSU rRNA". It matches the Rfam family "Archaeal small subunit ribosomal RNA", at positions 876 to 1429 of the family's 1478-position model. The record is from RNAcentral.